Molecule: ribosomal RNA, 636 nt
Filed under: uncultured Bacilli bacterium
Lineage: Bacteria; Bacillati; Bacillota; Bacilli
Description: bacterial SSU rRNA
Rfam family: Bacterial small subunit ribosomal RNA
Source: RNAcentral
AAAAGAGGAGUGGCGAACGGGUGAGUAACACGUGGGUAACCUGCCCAUCAGAAGGGGAUAACACUUGGAAACAGGUGCUAAUACCGUAUAACAAUCGAAACCGCAUGGUUUUGAUUUGAAAGGCGCUUUCGGGUGUCGCUGAUGGAUGGACCCGCGGUGCAUUAGCUAGUUGGUGAGGUAACGGCUCACCAAGGCCACGAUGCAUAGCCGACCUGAGAGGGUGAUCGGCCACAUUGGGACUGAGACACGGCCCAAACUCCUACGGGAGGCAGCAGUAGGGAAUCUUCGGCAAUGGACGAAAGUCUGACCGAGCAACGCCGCGUGAGUGAAGAAGGUUUUCGGAUCGUAAAACUCUGUUGUUAGAGAGGAACAAGGAUAAGAGUAACUGUUCAUCCCUUGACGGUAUCUAACCAGAAAGCCACGGCUAACUACGUGCCAGCAGCCGCGGUAAUACGUAGGUGGCAAGCGUUGUCCGGAUUUAUUGGGCGUAAAGCGAGCGCAGGCGGUUUCUUAAGUCUGAUGUGAAAGCCCCCGGCUCAACCGGGGAGGGUCAUUGGAAACUGGGAGACUUGAGUGCAGAAGAGGAGAGUGGAAUUCCAUGUGUAGCGGUGAAAUGCGUAGAUAUAUGGAGGAACA